Small nucleolar RNA from Myotis lucifugus (little brown bat), 134 nucleotides. Ensembl annotates it as small nucleolar RNA SNORA42/SNORA80 family. NCBI's taxonomy places the organism in Eukaryota, Metazoa, Chordata, Mammalia, Chiroptera, Vespertilionidae. The record is from Ensembl.
GCAUGGGUCUGGAUUUAUGAUAGGCCUGUACCCCUGGGUCUCUCAUAGUGCCCCAUGCCAGAGCAAACUGUGGCCUUGAAUCACUGCCUGGCCUCUGCCCGUAGGCUGCAGGCACUGAAGCAGGUUACACAGUG